AGAAAAUAGCAUAUUCUCUGAAGGGC
This 26-nucleotide non-coding RNA is filed under the name Rattus norvegicus (Norway rat). Lineage: Eukaryota; Metazoa; Chordata; Mammalia; Rodentia; Muridae. The record is from RNAcentral.